AUACGGAGGGUGCAAGCGUUGUCCGGAAUUAUUGGGUGUAAAGGGUGUGCAGGCGGGGCGGUAAGUCAGGGGUGAAAGUCUACGGCUCAACCGUAGGAUGGCCUUUGAUACUGUCGUCCUUGAGUCCCGGAGAGGCCAUUAGAAUUCGUGGUGUAGCGGUGAAAUGCGUAGAUAUCACGAGGAAUACCGGAAGCGUAGGCGGAUGGCUGGACGGCGACUGACGCUCAGGCACGAAAGCGUGGGGAGCGAACAGGAUUAGAUACCCUGGUAGUCCACGCCGUAAACGAUGGAUACUAGGUGUAGGAGGUAUCGACCCCUUCGGUGCCGGAGUUAACACAAUAAGUAUCCCACCUGGGGAGUACGGCCGCAAGGUUGAA
Molecule: ribosomal RNA, 377 nt
Filed under: uncultured bacterium
Lineage: Bacteria
Description: bacterial SSU rRNA
Rfam family: Bacterial small subunit ribosomal RNA
Source: RNAcentral